GAACCAACAGGGAUUGCCUCAGUAACGGCGAGUGAAGCGGCAACAGCUCAAAUUUGAAAUCUGGCCCCCUCGGGGUCCGAGUUGUAAUUUGGAGAAGAUGCUUCGGGUGCGGCCCCGGUCUAAGUUCCUUGGAACAGGACGUCACAGAGGGUGAGAAUCCCGUACGUGCCCGGUGGUCGCCCCCGUGUGAAGCUCUUUCGACGAGUCGAGUUGUUUGGGAAUGCAGCUCUAAAUGGGUGGUAUAUUUCAUCUAAAGCUAAAUAUUGGCCAGAGACCGAUAGCGCACAAGUAGAGUGAUCGAAAGAUGAAAAGCACUUUGGAAAGAGAGUUAAACAGUACGUGAAAUUGUUGAAAGGGAAGCGCUUGCAACCAGACUUGCGCGCGGCCGAUCAUCCGGUGUUCGCACCGGUGCACUCGACCGCGCGCAGGCCAGCAUCGGUUUGGGUGGCUGGACAAAGGCCUCGGGAAUGUGGCUCCCUUCGGGGAGUGUUAUAGCCCGAGGUGCAAUGCAGCCUACCCGGACCGAGGACCGCGCUUCGGCUAGGAUGCUGGCGUAAUGGUUGUAAGCGACCCGUC
This 576-nucleotide ribosomal RNA is filed under the name Oidiodendron reticulatum. RNAcentral's name for it is "partial 28S ribosomal RNA". It matches the Rfam family "Eukaryotic large subunit ribosomal RNA", at positions 56 to 653 of the family's 3401-position model. Lineage: Eukaryota; Fungi; Ascomycota; Leotiomycetes; Myxotrichaceae. The record is from RNAcentral.